RNAcentral lists this ribosomal RNA (440 nucleotides) under uncultured bacterium. RNAcentral describes it as "partial 16S ribosomal RNA". It matches the Rfam family "Bacterial small subunit ribosomal RNA", at positions 338 to 795 of the family's 1533-position model. The record is from RNAcentral.
CCUACGGGAGGCAGCAGUGGGGGAUAUUGCACAAUGGGGGAAACCCUGAUGCAGCGACGCCGCGUGUGGGAAGACGGUCCUCUGGAUUGUAAACCACUGUCCCCAGGGACGAAGAUGACGGUACCUGGGGCGGACGCUCCGGCUAACUACGUGCCAGCAGCCGCGGUAAUACGUAGGGAGCGAGCGGUGUCCGGAAUUACUGGGUGUAAAGGGAGCGUAGGCGGGACUGCAAGUUGGGUGUCAAAUCUACCGGCUCAACCGGUAGCCGCACUCAAAACUGCAGUUCUUGAGUGAAGUAGAGGCAGGCGGAAUUCCUAGUGUAGCGGUGAAAUGCGUAGAUAUUAGGAGGAACACCAGUGGCGAAGGCGGCCUGCUGGGCUUUUACUGACGCUGAGGCUCGAAAGUGUGGGGAGCAAACAGGAUUAGAUACCCCUGUAGUC